RNAcentral lists this ribosomal RNA (1295 nucleotides) under Salmonella enterica. Its description in RNAcentral is "partial 23S ribosomal RNA". It matches the Rfam family "Bacterial large subunit ribosomal RNA", at positions 1243 to 2521 of the family's 2925-position model. The record is from RNAcentral. Lineage: Bacteria; Pseudomonadati; Pseudomonadota; Gammaproteobacteria; Enterobacterales; Enterobacteriaceae.
UAAGCCUGUGAAGGUGUGUCGUGAGGCAUGCUGGAGGUAUCAGAAGUGCGAAUGCUGACAUAAGUAACGAUAAAGCGGGUGAAAAGCCCGCUCGCCGGAAGACCAAGGGUUCCUGUCCAACGUUAAUCGGGGCAGGGUGAGUCGACCCCUAAGGCGAGGCCGAAAGGCGUAGUCGAUGGGAAACGGGUUAAUAUUCCCGUACUUGGUGUUACUGCGAAGGGGGGACGGAGAAGGCUAUGUUGGCCGGGCGACGGUUGUCCCGGUUUAAGCGUGUAGGUGUGUGUUCCAGGUAAAUCCGGUUCACUUUAACACUGAGGCGUGACGACGAGGCACUACGGUGCUGAAGCAACAAAUGCCCUGCUUCCAGGAAAAGCCUCUAAGCAUCAGGUAACAUCAAAUCGUACCCCAAACCGACACAGGUGGUCAGGUAGAGAAUACCAAGGCGCUUGAGAGAACUCGGGUGAAGGAACUAGGCAAAAUGGUGCCGUAACUUCGGGAGAAGGCACGCUGACACGUAGGUGAAGUGAUUUACUCAUGGAGCUGAAGUCAGUCGAAGAUACCAGCUGGCUGCAACUGUUUAUUAAAAACACAGCACUGUGCAAACACGAAAGUGGACGUAUACGGUGUGACGCCUGCCCGGUGCCGGAAGGUUAAUUGAUGGGGUCAGCGCAAGCGAAGCUCCUGAUCGAAGCCCCGGUAAACGGCGGCCGUAACUAUAACGGUCCUAAGGUAGCGAAAUUCCUUGUCGGGUAAGUUCCGACCUGCACGAAUGGCGUAAUGAUGGCCAGGCUGUCUCCACCCGAGACUCAGUGAAAUUGAACUCGCUGUGAAGAUGCAGUGUACCCGCGGCAAGACGGAAAGACCCCGUGAACCUUUACUAUAGCUUGACACUGAACAUUGAGCCUUGAUGUGUAGGAUAGGUGGGAGGCUUUGAAGUGUGGACGCCAGUCUGCAUGGAGCCGACCUUGAAAUACCACCCUUUAAUGUUUGAUGUUCUAACGUGGACCCGUGAUCCGGGUUGCGGACAGUGUCUGGUGGGUAGUUUGACUGGGGCGGUCUCCUCCUAAAGAGUAACGGAGGAGCACGAAGGUUGGCUAAUCCUGGUCGGACAUCAGGAGGUUAGUGCAAUGGCAUAAGCCAGCUUGACUGCGAGCGUGACGGCGCGAGCAGGUGCGAAAGCAGGUCAUAGUGAUCCGGUGGUUCUGAAUGGAAGGGCCAUCGCUCAACGGAUAAAAGGUACUCCGGGGAUAACAGGCUGAUACCGCCCAAGAGUUCAUAUCGACGGCGGUGUUUGG